AGGWGAAGUCGUAACAAGGUUUCCGUAGGUGAACCUGCGGAAGGAUCAUUGUCAAAACCUGCCCAGCAGAACGACCUGUGAACUCUUUAAAACACCGGAGGGUGCGUGCCUUGAGUGCGCUCCACUCCUUUCUUCAUCAGGUGCGGGCUUGUGCUCGUGCUUGUUGCGGAACAACCAACCCCGGGCGCAGCAAGCGCCAAGGAAAACUAACAAGAGAGCACGAUCUCAGGCCUCCUACAUGGUGUGCUUGGGACACGGUGCUUUCUUUAUAAAAUUAUCUAUAAUGACUCUCGGCAACGGAUAUCUCGGCUCUCGCAUCGAUGAAGAACGCA
RNAcentral lists this unclassified non-coding RNA (332 nucleotides) under Melicope broadbentiana. Its description in RNAcentral is "sequence contains 18S rRNA gene, ITS1, 5.8S rRNA gene, ITS2 and 28S rRNA gene". The stretch from base 1 to 51 matches the Rfam family "Eukaryotic small subunit ribosomal RNA". Lineage: Eukaryota; Viridiplantae; Streptophyta; Magnoliopsida; Sapindales; Rutaceae. The record is from RNAcentral.